AAGUCGUAACAAGGUUUCCGUAGGUGAACCUGCGGAAGGAUCAAUAGAAAUCGCCGGCUGAGCCGGUAUAAAAUUCUAUCCACCCUUGUGUGCAAACAAUGGAAGAAAAGAGAGCCAUUUGGAUACUUUUGUAUCCAAUCUCUCUAAAAUUUUUAUAAACUCCAUCAAAUUUUGAAUAAACUAAUUUUUUUUUUAAAUAAAAAAUAUUAUACAACUUUCAACAACGGAUCUCUUGGCUCUC
Molecule: unclassified non-coding RNA, 241 nt
Filed under: fungal sp.
Lineage: Eukaryota; Fungi
Description: partial internal transcribed spacer region
Rfam family: Eukaryotic small subunit ribosomal RNA (bases 1-46)
Source: RNAcentral